This 468-nucleotide ribosomal RNA is filed under the name uncultured bacterium. RNAcentral describes it as "partial 16S ribosomal RNA". It matches the Rfam family "Bacterial small subunit ribosomal RNA", at positions 28 to 507 of the family's 1533-position model. The record is from RNAcentral.
GACGAACGCUGGCGGCGUGCUUAACAUAUGCAAGUCGAACGGAAAGGCCCUGCUUUUGUGGGGUGCUCGAGUGGCGAACGGGUGAGUAACACGUGAGUAACCUGCCCUUGACUUUGGGAUAACUUCAGGAAACUGGGGCUAAUACCGGAUAGGAGCUCCUGCUGCAUGGUGGGGGUUGGAAAGUUUCGGCGGUUGGGGAUGGACUCGCGGCUUAUCAGCUUGUUGGUGGGGUAGUGGCUUACCAAGGCUUUGACGGGUAGCCGGCCUGAGAGGGUGACCGGCCACAUCGGGACUGAGAUACGGCCCAGACUCCUACGGGAGGCAGCAGUGGGGAAUAUUGCACAAUGGGCGGAAGCCUGAUGCAGCAACGCCGCGUGCGGGAUGACGGCCUUCGGGUUGUAAACCGCUUUCGCCUGUGACGAAGCGUGAGUGACGGUAAUGGGUAAAGAAGCACCGGCUAACUACGUG